This is a non-coding RNA of Colinus virginianus (northern bobwhite), 160 nucleotides long. NCBI's taxonomy places the organism in Eukaryota, Metazoa, Chordata, Aves, Galliformes, Odontophoridae. The record is from Rfam.
AAACUUACUUGGCUGGCGCUCGGGGUGGCUCCGGUAUCACCCUGUCGUAGCUCGGAGCAGCACAUUGCAUUCUGUGGUCUGUAAUGGGCUAGGCCCGUCCCUAGUGGGUGGCUCCACAGCUCAAUUUCUGAUCAGCGGUUCGUGCUCGCGCGGCCGCUAA